This 21-nucleotide non-coding RNA is filed under the name Arabidopsis thaliana (thale cress). Lineage: Eukaryota; Viridiplantae; Streptophyta; Magnoliopsida; Brassicales; Brassicaceae. The record is from RNAcentral.
AAGCGGUCUCAUUGCAAUGGU